UAUGUAGGGGGCAAGCGUUGUCCGGAAUCAUUGGGCGUAAAGCGCGCGUAGGCGGCUCGGUAAGUCCGUUGUGAAAGUCAAAGGCUCAACCUUUGAAUGCCGAUGGAUACUGUCGAGCUAGAGUCCGGAAGAGGCGAGUGGAAUUCCUGGUGUAGCGGUGGAAUGCGCAGAUAUCAGGAGGAACACCAAUAGCGAAGGCAGCUCGCUGGGACGGUACUGACGCUAAGGCGCGAAAGCGUGGGGAGCGAACAGG
This 253-nucleotide ribosomal RNA is filed under the name uncultured bacterium. Its description in RNAcentral is "partial 16S ribosomal RNA". It matches the Rfam family "Bacterial small subunit ribosomal RNA", at positions 524 to 776 of the family's 1533-position model. The record is from RNAcentral.